CCCAUCCUCCUGCUCGUCCUCGGGGCGACGACGUGCCAAGCGGGGAUUUAAAUCGCACGCGAACGCGUGACGUACGCGAAAGAACGCGGAUCACGUGACGAGAGGCGACCACCGAUCGUCGCCUUCGAAACUCUCUCUCCCUCUCUCUCUCUCUUUCUCUUUCUUUCUCUCUCAAAACUCGGCUUCGCGGCCACUCGCGAGCAUCCUGGGGGAAAGGAUCCGAUUCCCGGAUUAACUCAACGAACGGAACUGAGAUGCGAUAACAGCAGAAACGAUGUGCACGUUCCUCGUGCAGCCAGUAGAAAUGGACUACAUUGGUCGGACAGCAUUCAAUGAAAUAAAUGGUGAUUCGGUAUACAUAAAACUGCGUGCGCGAAGAUGAAGACUGAGGAGCAGGGAGGGACGGAGGAGUGUCGUGUAUUCGUGUCGACGUCGCAUAGGAUAGAGAGGAGAUAUUACGUAGGGUCGGAUCGUAAACUGGUAACAUCCGCCAAUCAAAUCCGUCUGUCUAUGUGUGUGACCUGGCCUAGAAUCGAAAGCUCUUCUAUACCGAGGAGAGACGGUAAUUUCGCGCGAUGAAAAGAGCGCGCUAUAUUACCGCGCUGGCAUUAUGCGAUGUGGAACGUUUCGACCGUGUUGUCGAAUCAUUUAAUCAUGAUUACGUCGAGGAAAAAAGAAAUCUAAUCUAUAAAAUCGGCAGGAUCAAAUAUUCGGAAGUACUUGUUUGUUGUUUCAAUUAAAUCGACGUUAUAUCUCCUCCGAGCAAGAAGGUGGUAUCCUAGUACAACAUGUUAACUGAAUAUUGGUUGUAUUGGGAAUAUUUUUUGGCUAAUAUUUCCCAAAGUAAAGCUAAUAAGGUUAUUAAUAAAAUGCAAGUGCACUGCCAAUUUUGGCAUAUAAUAUUAGCUCAGGAAGAAAGAUCGUCUUUACAAUUUAGUACUAAUAUGAAAAAUUAGUCUGUAUACCCAACAUAAAAAUUAGAUAUAUAUUGUUAGCCAAUAUUGCUGCAAUUAAAUUGUGCUAUUAGGGUGAAUGAAGAAAAAAUCGCGCUAUUUUCUAAUUCCUAUCCCAAGGCUCCUCGUGCUCGAAACACUUCGAGAUUCACAUAUAAAAGAUACGUUGUGCGAAAUCAAAUUUUUAGCUCGAUUAAAUUCUGAUAACACAGAAGCGU
This is a long non-coding RNA of Temnothorax curvispinosus, 1171 nucleotides long. RefSeq lists it as uncharacterized. The transcript is spliced from 3 exons. The record is from RefSeq and is a predicted model, not a curated record. NCBI's taxonomy places the organism in Eukaryota, Metazoa, Arthropoda, Insecta, Hymenoptera, Formicidae.